This 452-nucleotide long non-coding RNA is filed under the name Macaca mulatta (Rhesus monkey). Its description in RNAcentral is "lncRNA (ENSMMUG00000053657.1)". The record is from RNAcentral. Lineage: Eukaryota; Metazoa; Chordata; Mammalia; Primates; Cercopithecidae.
CAGCUUUCCAGACUACAUAUCUCCAAGAAAAAUCUUGGAUUACUUUAAACAUAUCAUUUAAGAAUCUGAAAAAUGUUCUUACCUUAAACAAUUUAAACAAAUGCGAUUUUGUGAGUUUUUUGAUUGAUAUCGUCUCAGUGGACUCAAGGACAAUCUCACUUUCUCAUCCAUCUCCUUGUGAUAAAAUGACAGGCAUUUCAAGAGAUAAGAGGCAGGCUGCUGCCCACUCAAAAGUAUCAUUCCACCCAUCAGACAGAGCUCCCAAAUUAAGGAUCGUAGCAAUUACACACAAGCAACAGCAUGGAAAAGAAGCCAGUGCUGCAGAGGUGAUCUGGAUCCAGGAAGAAAGGGAAGAUACCUUCAAUCAAAAAGAGACCACGUCUGCAGAAAACUUUUGGAUGCAACACAGCUGGUUCGCUUCAGGGGACACAUUCUCAGAAAUGGCUGGAUGA